This 75-nucleotide transfer RNA is filed under the name Parcubacteria group bacterium. RNAcentral's name for it is "tRNA-Arg". It matches the Rfam family "tRNA". Rfam says of the family: Transfer RNA (tRNA) molecules are approximately 80 nucleotides in length. Their secondary structure includes four short double-helical elements and three loops (D, anti-codon, and T loops). The record is from RNAcentral.
GCCCUCGUAGCUCAACGGAUAGAGCGUAGGCCUCCGGAGCCUAAGACAGGGGUUCAAUUCCUCUCGAGGGCACCA